AGAGUUUGAUCAUGGCUCAGAACGAACGCUGGCGGCAUGCCUAACACAUGCAAGUCGAACGCUCCGCAAGGGGAGUGGCGCACGGGUGAGUAACGCGUGGGAACCUGCCGAGGGGUGUGGGAUAACCGGUGGAAACGCCGGCUAAUACCGCAUACGUCCUAUGGGAGAAAGAUUGAUCGCCCUUCGAGGGGCCCGCGUCGGAUUAGCUAGUUGGCGGGGUAACGGCCCACCAAGGCGACGAUCCGUAGCUGGUCUGAGAGGAUGAUCAGCCACACUGGGACUGAGACACGGCCCAGACUCCUACGGGAGGCAGCAGUGGGGAGUAUUGGACAAUGGGGGCAACCCUGAUCCAGCAAUGCCGCGUGAGUGAUGAAGGCCUUAGGGUUGUAAAGCUCUUUCGGCGGGGACGAUGAUGACGGUACCCGCAGAAGAAGCCCCGGCUAACUUCGUGCCAGCAGCCGCGGUAAUACGAAGGGGGCAAGCGUUGUUCGGAUUUACUGGGCGUAAAGGGCGCGCAGGCGGCCCUUCAAGUCAGAUGUGAAAGCCCCGGGCUCAACCUGGGAACUGCAUUUGAGACUGAAGGGCUAGAGUUCGGGAGAGGAUGGCGGAAUUCCCAGUGUAGAGGUGAAAUUCGUAGAUAUUGGGAAGAACACCGGUGGCGAAGGCGGCCAUCUGGACCGAGACUGACGCUGAGGCGCGAAAGCGUGGGGAGCAAACAGGAUUAGAUACCCCCGUAGUCC
RNAcentral lists this ribosomal RNA (740 nucleotides) under uncultured Alphaproteobacteria bacterium. RNAcentral describes it as "bacterial SSU rRNA". It matches the Rfam family "Bacterial small subunit ribosomal RNA", at positions 8 to 796 of the family's 1533-position model. The record is from RNAcentral. Lineage: Bacteria; Pseudomonadati; Pseudomonadota; Alphaproteobacteria.